GACGAACGCUGGCGGCGUGCUUAACACAUGCAAGUCGAACGGAAAGGCCCUGCUUUUGUGGGGUUCUCGAUUGGCGCACGGGUGAGUAACACGUGAGUAACCUGCCCUUGACUUUGGGAUAACUUCAGGAAACUGCGGCUAAUACCGGAUAGAAGCUCCUGCUGCAUGGUGGGGGUUGGAAAGUUUCGGCGGUUGGGGAUGGACUGGCGGCUUAUGAGCUUGUUUGUGUGGUAGUGGCUUACCAAGCCUUUGACGGGUAGCCGGCCUGAGAGGGUGACCGGCGACAUGGGGACUGAGAGACGGACCAGACGCCAACGGGAGGCAGCAGUGGGGAAUAUUGCACAAUGGGCCGAAGUCUGAGGCAGAAACGUCGCGUGCGGGAUGACGGCCUUCGGGUUGUAAACCGCUUUCGCCUGUGACGAAGCGUGAGUGACGGUAAUGGGUAAAGAAGCACCGGCUAACUACGUG
This 468-nucleotide ribosomal RNA is filed under the name uncultured bacterium. RNAcentral describes it as "partial 16S ribosomal RNA". It matches the Rfam family "Bacterial small subunit ribosomal RNA", at positions 28 to 507 of the family's 1533-position model. The record is from RNAcentral.